UUUAUUAAAGAGCAAGGAAUGUGUAUGGUAGUCUGCGUUCUUAUAUAUAUGUCAAAGGGACGAUGAGAACUAUUAAUAUGCUGGCACUAUGGCAACAUUAGCACAUCCCAGGCUUCUAUAUAUCUCUUCCAUUUUAUCUAUACCACAUUCCGCAUUCGCAAAAAGCUUUGAAGCAUUACAAUAAACCUACUGUAAAGAUUGAUCACCUGACGAGAACCACAUGUGUCAACACUUGAUUGACGCUUUUACUAUUAUCGUAAGAGCAAGAUAUAUUUUUACCGCUAACAAUGUAUGUUUAAUAUCGGUAUACGACCAUAGACU
Schizosaccharomyces pombe (fission yeast) is the source of this 321-nucleotide non-coding RNA. The record is from the annotation of a GenBank genome assembly. NCBI's taxonomy places the organism in Eukaryota, Fungi, Ascomycota, Schizosaccharomycetes, Schizosaccharomycetales, Schizosaccharomycetaceae.